This 389-nucleotide ribosomal RNA is filed under the name uncultured bacterium. RNAcentral's name for it is "bacterial SSU rRNA". It matches the Rfam family "Bacterial small subunit ribosomal RNA", at positions 30 to 424 of the family's 1533-position model. The record is from RNAcentral.
AUUGAACGCUGGCGGCAUGCCUUACACAUGCAAGUCGAACGGCAGCGGGCCUUCGGGUGCCGGCGAGUGGCGAACGGGUGAGUAAUGCAUCGGAACGUGCCAUUGAGUGGGGGAUAACGUAGCGAAAGUUACGCUAAUACCGCAUAUUCUGUGAGCAGGAAAGCAGGGGACCGCAAGGCCUUGCGCUCUUUGAGCGGCCGAUGUCAGAUUAGCUAGUUGGUGAGGUAAAGGCUUACCAAGGCGACGAUCUGUAGCGGGUCUGAGAGGAUGAUCCGCCACACUGGAACUGAGACACGGUCCAGACUCCUACGGGAGGCAGCAGUGGGAAUUUUGGACAAUGGGCGCAAGCCUGAUCCAGCCAUGCCGCGUGAGUGAAGAAGGCCUCGGUU